UAUACAUGCAAGUCGAACGGUGUCUUCGGACAUAGUGGCGCACGGGUGCGUAACACGUAUGCAACCUACCUUACAUUGGGGGAUAGCCUUUCGAAAGGGAGAUUAAUACCGCAUAAGACAGUAACUAGGCAUCUAGUAGCCGUUAAAGAUUUAUCGAUGUAAGCUGGGCAUGCGACCAAUUAGCUAGUUGGUGAGGUAAUGGCUCACCAAGGCUAUGAUUGGUAGGGGAACUGAGAGGUCAAUCCCCCACACUGGCACUGAGAUACGGGCCAGACUCCUACGGGAGGCAGCAGUAGGGAAUAUUGGGCAAUGGACGCAAGUCUGACCCAGCCAUGCCGCGUGCAGGAUGAAGGCGUUAUGCGUUGUAAACUGCUUUUAUACAGGAAGAAACGACUCUUGCGAGAGGCAUUGACGGUACUGUAUGAAUUAGCACCGGCUAACUCCGUGCCAGCAGCCGCGGUAAUACGGAGGGUGCAAGCGUUGUCCGGAUUUAUUGGGUUUAAAGGGUGCGCAGGUGGUUUAUUAAGUCAGUGGUGAAAGACGGUCGCUCAACGAUUGCAGUGCCAUUGAAACUGGUAGACUUGAGUAAAGUAGAGGUGGGCGGAAUUGAUAGUGUAGCGGUGAAAUGCAUAGAUAUUAUCAAGAACUCCAAUUGCGUAGGCAGCUCACUUGGCUUUUACUGGCACUCAUGCACGAAAGUGUGGGUAUCAAACAGGAUUAGAUACCCUGGUAGUCCACACUGUAAACGAUGAUAACUAGGUGUCGGCCGAAUCUGGUCGGUGCCACAGCGAAAGCGUUAAGUUAUCCACCUGGGGAGUACGCCGGCAACGGUGAAACUCANAGGAAUUGACGGGUGUCCGCACAAGCGGUGGAGCAUGUGGUUUAAUUCGAUGAUACGCGAGCAAUCUUACCUAGGCUAGAAUGUGAAGGAAUGAUAC
Molecule: ribosomal RNA, 938 nt
Filed under: uncultured Flexibacteraceae bacterium
Lineage: Bacteria; Pseudomonadati; Bacteroidota; Cytophagia; Cytophagales; Cytophagaceae
Description: bacterial SSU rRNA
Rfam family: Bacterial small subunit ribosomal RNA
Source: RNAcentral